This 1446-nucleotide ribosomal RNA is filed under the name uncultured marine cyanobacterium. RNAcentral describes it as "bacterial SSU rRNA". It matches the Rfam family "Bacterial small subunit ribosomal RNA". The record is from RNAcentral. Lineage: Bacteria; Bacillati; Cyanobacteriota.
GAGUUUGAUCAUGGCUCAGGAUGAACGCUGGCGGCGUGCUUAACACAUGCAAGUCGAACGAACCUUCGGGUUAGUGGCGGACGGGUGAGUAACGCGUGAGAAUCUGCCCUCAGGAGGGGGAUAACAGCUGGAAACGGCUGCUAAUACCCCAUAUGCCGCGAGGUGAAAUGAAUUUCGCCUGAGGAUGAGCUCGCGUCUGAUUAGCUAGUUGGUGUAGGUAAUGGCUCACCAAGGCAUCGAUCAGUAGCUGGUCUGAGAGGAUGAUCAGCCACACUGGGACUGAGACACGGCCCAGACUCCUACGGGAGGCAGCAGUGGGGAAUCUUCCGCAAUGGGCGAAAGCCUGACGGAGCAACGCCGCGUGAGGGAUGAAGGCCUCUGGGCUGUAAACCUCUUUUAUCAAGGAAGAAGAUCUGACGGUACUUGAUGAAUAAGCCACGGCUAAUUCCGUGCCAGCAGCCGCGGUAAUACGGGAGUGGCAAGCGUUAUCCGGAAUUAUUGGGCGUAAAGCGUCCGCAGGCGGCCCUUCAAGUCUGCUGUUAAAAAGUGGAGCUUAACUCCAUCAUGGCAGUGGAAACUGAGGGGCUUGAGUGUGGUAGGGGCAGAGGGAAUUCCCGGUGUAGCGGUGAAAUGCGUAGAUAUCGGGAAGAACACCAGUGGCGAAGGCGCUCUGCUGGGCCAUCACUGACGCUCAUGGACGAAAGCCAGGGGAGCGAAAGGGAUUAGAUACCCCUGUAGUCCUGGCCGUAAACGAUGAACACUAGGUGUCGGGGGAAUCGACCCCCUCGGUGUCGUAGCCAACGCGUUAAGUGUUCCGCCUGGGGAGUACGCACGCAAGUGUGAAACUCAAAGGAAUUGACGGGGGCCCGCACAAGCGGUGGAGUAUGUGGUUUAAUUCGAUGCAACGCGAAGAACCUUACCAGGGUUUGACAUCCUGCGAAUCUCUUGGAAACGAGAGAGUGCCUUCGGGAGCGCAGUGACAGGUGGUGCAUGGCUGUCGUCAGCUCGUGUCGUGAGAUGUUGGGUUAAGUCCCGCAACGAGCGCAACCCACGUCUUUAGUUGCCAGCAUUUAGUUGGGCACUCUAGAGAGACCGCCGGUGAUAAACCGGAGGAAGGUGUGGAUGACGUCAAGUCAUCAUGCCCCUUACAUCCUGGGCUACACACGUACUACAAUGCUACGGACAAAGGGCAGCAAGUUCGCGAGGACAAGCAAAUCCCAUAAACCGUGGCUCAGUUCAGAUCGUAGGCUGCAACUCGCCUACGUGAAGGAGGAAUCGCUAGUAAUCGCAGGUCAGCAUACUGCGGUGAAUACGUUCCCGGGCCUUGUACACACCGCCCGUCACACCAUGGAAGUUGGCCACGCCCGAAGCCGUUACUCCAACCCUUGUGGAGGAGGACGUCGAAGGUGGGGCUGAUGACUGGGGUGAAGUCGUAACAAGGUAACC